CCUACGGGUGGCAGCAGUGAGGAAUAUUGGUCAAUGGCCGGAAGGCUGAACCAGCCAUGCCGCGUGAAGGUCAGUGCCCUAUGGGCGUUAAACUUCUUUUGUUCGGGAGCAAUAAUGGUCACGUGUUGCCAGUCGAAAGUACCGUACGAAUAAGCAUCGGCUAACUCCGUGCCAGCAGCCGCGGUAAUACGGAGGAUCCGAGCGUUAUCCGGAUUUAUUGGGGUUAAAGGGAGCGUAGGUGGAUUGUUAAGUCAGUUGUGAAAGUUUGCGGCUCAACCCUAAAAUUGCAGUUGAAACUGGCAGUCUUGAGUACAGUAGAGGUGGGCAGAAUUCGUGGUGUAGCGGUGAAAUGCUUAGAGAUCACGAAGAACUCCGAUUGCGAAGGCAGCUCACUGGACUGAAACUGACACUGAGGCUCGAAAGUGUGGGUAUCAAACAGGAUUAGAUACCCGUGUAGUC
Molecule: ribosomal RNA, 459 nt
Filed under: uncultured bacterium
Lineage: Bacteria
Description: partial 16S ribosomal RNA
Rfam family: Bacterial small subunit ribosomal RNA
Source: RNAcentral